This 255-nucleotide ribosomal RNA is filed under the name uncultured bacterium. Its description in RNAcentral is "partial 16S ribosomal RNA". It matches the Rfam family "Bacterial small subunit ribosomal RNA", at positions 524 to 776 of the family's 1533-position model. The record is from RNAcentral.
UACGAAGGGGGCUAGCGUUGCUCGGAAUCACUGGGCGUAAAGGGUGCGUAGGCGGGUCUUUUAAGUCAGGGGUGAAAUCCUGGAGCUCAACUCCAGAACUGCCUUUGAUACUGAGGAUCUUGAGUUCGGGAGAGGAUGAGUGGAACUGCGAGUGUAGAGGUGAAAUUCGUAGAUAUUCGCAAGAACACCAGUGGCGAAGGCGGCUCACUGGCCCGAUACUGACGCUGAGGCACGAAAGCGUGGGGAGCAAACAGG